UGAGGCAGGAGAAUCGCUUGAACCCGAGAGGUGGAAGUUGCAGUGAGCUGAGAUUGCACCACUGCACUACAGCCUGGGCGACUGAGACUCCAUCUCAAAAUAAACAAA
This 108-nucleotide microRNA precursor is filed under the name Chlorocebus sabaeus (green monkey). RNAcentral describes it as "miRNA (ENSCSAG00000025079.1)". The record is from RNAcentral. Lineage: Eukaryota; Metazoa; Chordata; Mammalia; Primates; Cercopithecidae.